This is a long non-coding RNA of Trichechus manatus latirostris (Florida manatee), 1264 nucleotides long. RefSeq lists it as uncharacterized. NCBI's taxonomy places the organism in Eukaryota, Metazoa, Chordata, Mammalia, Sirenia, Trichechidae. The record is from RefSeq and is a predicted model, not a curated record. The transcript has 3 exons.
AGAACGUGAGAUGGCGACCUUCCGCGACAGGGCGGUGUCGGGCACGAAGAGGUGCGGACGCCCGCCCUUCCGAGCCCCACCCACUUCGAGACUCGCCCCUGGCCGCUGAGGAGCUCGCCCUGCUACAUUUGGGGGCCUCGUGAGGAUGGCGUGGAGACAAAGGGCACUUCAGGCUCUUCGGCCCAGGAGAAUAGAGACCAAUUGCUGUACUUUGGAUGGCUGCUUGCAAGCUUUUAAGACCCGGGCACUAUGGGACAAUGCAGUGUUUUUGAAAGGAGAAUCUACAACGUUAAGGUCUGAUAAUUUGGCUUAUCCUGAGAAAAAUCAGGACUACAUUCUUUCCAGCUUAUUGAAGAUAUUAGACUGAAGAAAUGAAAUCUUGCCAAUGAAAAAUUCUGAUGGCCUCCAAAACAGAAACUCCCACUGCUCAGCCCCAGACUCUGCCCAUGUAAGAGUGAAAAUAUCUAAGAGCAAUCAUAUUGGAUAUAUGUUGAAGUUGAGGAUGGGUAGUUUUUAUUGUUCAAGAAAGAGCUGAUAUUUUGGAAAAAGAGAGGCACCAACAAAAGUAAUGAUGGUGAAGAAUAAGUACUUGCAUGGAAAAAUGGUCCAUCUUGUAACUGUGUUCUAGUUAAUAGAAAUAACCAUGAAUGAAAUAAAGCUUACAACUUCCCUUUCUCCCUACUUUAAGGGCACAAUCCCUAAUAAAGAUGGGAACCUUCUACCUUCAAACUUCUGACCUCAAACCCCAACUCCUUUAACUCCCAAAUGCACAUUUUCAGUUUCUUACUGUAUACUUUUCUACCUCUCCCACUGACAUGAGCUUAAAUUAUGAAGGCACUAACAAAAAAUGUUCUAACCUGAACGCAAAUUAACCAAGUAUUGCCCCAGGAGCUUAAAGAUCUUAUGAUGUCUUCAUAACAAUCCUCUCACAAUAAUUAUGAGUUUCUACAAUUAUUUAUAAAAAUGUAAAGAUGUAUAUUUGGUUAAGGAUACUAAGUUUGUGAAUGUCACUACACAAUGAAUUAAGCAAACUUUUAUUGAAGCAUAAAUCGUGGUAAAGAAAUACAUUUCAACUGAUUUAAGUCCAACACCAUGAAGGGAGAAAUAUGGCACACCAAAACUUCCCCUCCUCUAUCAUUAACUCAGAUUACUAUCCAAUGUAUAGGUUUCCUUUUGCUAGGCUUUUUUUUACAUACAAAUUUGCACUUUUUCAACAUUAAAAUUUUAAAAUCUAUUAAAAAAAAAAAAACAGACCUCAAGCCAA